RNAcentral lists this ribosomal RNA (495 nucleotides) under uncultured bacterium. RNAcentral's name for it is "partial 16S ribosomal RNA". It matches the Rfam family "Bacterial small subunit ribosomal RNA", at positions 28 to 507 of the family's 1533-position model. The record is from RNAcentral.
GAUGAACGCUGGCGGCGUGCCUAAUACAUGCAAGUCGAGCGAACAGACGAGGAGCUUGCUCCUCUGACGUUAGCGGCGGACGGGUGAGUAACACGUGGAUAACCUACCUAUAAGACUGGGAUAACUUCGGGAAACCGGAGCUAAUACCGGAUAAUAUAUUGAACCGCAUGGUUCAAUAGUGAAAGACGGUUUUGCUGUCACUUAUAGAUGGAUCCGCGCCGCAUUAGCUAGUUGGUAAGGUAACGGCUUACCAAGGCAACGAUGCGUAGCCGACCUGAGAGGGUGAGCGGCCACUGGAACUGAGACACGGUCCAGACUCCUACGGGAGGCAGCAGUAGGGAAUCUUCCGCAAUGGGCGAAAGCCUGACGGAGCAACGCCGCGUGAGUGAUGAAGGUCUUCGGAUCGUAAAACUCUGUUAUUAGGGAAGAACAAAUGUGUAAGUAACUAUGCACGUCUUGACGGUACCUAAUCAGAAAGCCACGGCUAACUACGUG